Molecule: transfer RNA, 92 nt
Organism: Nadsonia fulvescens var. elongata DSM 6958
Lineage: Eukaryota; Fungi; Ascomycota; Dipodascomycetes; Dipodascales
Rfam family: tRNA
About the family: Transfer RNA (tRNA) molecules are approximately 80 nucleotides in length. Their secondary structure includes four short double-helical elements and three loops (D, anti-codon, and T loops).
Source: Rfam
GCUCCUUUAGCUCAGUUGGUAGAGCGUCAGUCUCAUAUUAGAUUUUCUUCAGGUAUAUCUGAAGGUCGAGAGUUCGAACCUCCCAGGGAGCA